Non-coding RNA from Osmia lignaria (orchard mason bee), 1704 nucleotides. Lineage: Eukaryota; Metazoa; Arthropoda; Insecta; Hymenoptera; Megachilidae. The record is from RefSeq and is a predicted model, not a curated record.
CGAGUCCUCGUGCACUACACCCUCCGGACACUCCUGAAAAAGAAAUCACAGUGAAUGGUUACUUCGACCAGAUUCGUGUGAUCGAGUAUUGUGGCAAAUUUCAACGUCGUUUCUUCUUUUUUUUUUUUUUCAUUUUACGUUGGAGAUAAGAAGGCAGAUAGGUUUGAAAAUACAGCCAGUAAUGAUCUGUUGGUAUAGUAGUAAUGGUAGGUCAAUUUACUGAAGGUAAAUCUCGGCUACAUCUUCCCUGAAGCGGUUUACGAGAUGAUAAAAAUGUGGAUGGGAUAGGAGGGGUUGUUCGUGUACUCUUGUUUACGGAUAUAAUCCCCGAAGCAAAACGUAAAAAUGAGGAUUCCUUAUGCUGUGCCGAGGAACGUCUUUGAAGCCUACAAAUGUUCGGACGAGACAAUGCGUUUAUCCAGCGAACGCGACAGAAGUAUUCGAGCGGAAGAUGAAUUCUGGGACGAGAAAAAUGUUACAAGCUUGAAGGUGCUUGCCCUUAGUGUCAUAGCUUCGACAUGGAAGGACAACCCUAUAUUAGAGGAACUACCGACUUGCGAGGAUAGAGAUAUGCUUAUGGAAAUCUUACCCAUCGAUUUACCAUUUAAACUGGUUAUCACGAAGAUAGAGGACGAACAGUAUUGGGAACGAUGCUCUAGAAACAGAUGGGAGCACAACAAUCCGGCGGAUCAUGGCGAUUCCUGGCGACAACUCUACUGCGAGGGUCAUCUUUGCGAAUAUUUGGAAAAUUUCGAGCCAAGUUACUUCGAGUCCCAGCAAGAGAAAUGCGAAGAAACAAUUCAACUUGUCCAAAAUUAUGUACACACCUUGGUACUGCGUACUCUUCGUCCCACCAAAAAACGUACAAAAUUUUUCGAUGACGAGGAUCCCUGUGUCGUCGAAGAGGAGCCUGUUCACCACAUCCCUUUCGCGAUUAUUCUACCCCAGCUUCCUCAUCUCACCGAAAUUCGCAUCAAUUUCGAGGUGGUUUACAUGAACGACGGUUUCGAAUGGCGAGACUUUGAGUUCUCGGUGGAAGAUUGCAUGGCUCUUGGAAAAGGGAUCCAUGCCUGCCCGAAAUUGAGGAAAUUCACUCUGUCCAGGAGCAACCUGGAUCAGCCACGUGCCGCGGCUUUGCUCCAAGGGAUUCUGGGGAACGAACACAUAGAAGAAAUAGAUUUCUCGCAUUGCAAACUAGGAGACAAAGGAGCCUACGCUAUCGGUGAAUUUCUACGAGUCCAUAAAAAUUUGAAGAUCAUACAUUUAGCCAACAACGAUAUAGGACCGGAAGGAGUGUCAGGGAUAAUGAACGGAUUACUUAAAAGAGAAGACUCGAUACUGAAGCAUCUAAAUUUGAAAUUGAACCCUCUGCUGGACGAUGGAGUGGUUCACGUCUGUGCCUAUACAGGAGAAGAUGGAUGUUUCUCUUUUAGAUCUACUACGGAAAGACAGUUUAGAAGUUCUGGACUUGAGCGCUUGCGGAAUAACAGCUGACGGAGGUGCAGCGUUAGCCGAAGUAUUCGGUUCUGGCUCUUUGAGCUUCGAAACUUUCAGCCUCGACGUGUCUAAUAAUGACUUUAAUGAAACAGUUGGCGAGGCGUUCGAGGCUGCGUUCGAGUCCACUCCGUUUAUCAUCGGCUUUGCUGCUCGAAUGUGUAAUUUCUCCGAACAAUCGGAGCUCUCUAUCUACGAGAAUGUACUCAG